Molecule: transfer RNA, 72 nt
Filed under: Microcaldota archaeon
Lineage: Archaea; Nanobdellati; Microcaldota
Description: tRNA-Thr
Rfam family: tRNA
About the family: Transfer RNA (tRNA) molecules are approximately 80 nucleotides in length. Their secondary structure includes four short double-helical elements and three loops (D, anti-codon, and T loops). Further hydrogen bonds mediate the characteristic L-shaped molecular structure. tRNAs have two regions of fundamental functional importance: the anti-codon, which is responsible for specific mRNA codon recognition, and the 3' end, to which the tRNAs corresponding amino acid is attached (by aminoacyl-tRNA synthetases). tRNAs cope with the degeneracy of the genetic code in two manners: having more than one tRNA (with a specific anti-codon) for a particular amino acid; and 'wobble' base-pairing, i.e. permitting non-standard base-pairing at the 3rd anti-codon position.
Source: RNAcentral
GCCCCAAUAGCUCAGCGGCAGAGCGCUUGCAUGGUAAGCAAGAGGCCGGGGGUUCAAAUCCCCCUUGGGGCU